UUUCCCUGGACAUGGGCAAAGAGACAGCUUGCUGGUGGUGUCGCUCUUUUAUCAGUCAGGGACAGAGCAGAUGGCUGUCCUUGGUUCAUGCUAGAUUGAUGCCCAGAUUGGAGGUCCAAGUGUCCUAUGCCUAGGAUUCUUAA
Small nucleolar RNA from Meriones unguiculatus (Mongolian gerbil), 143 nucleotides. RefSeq annotates it as small nucleolar RNA SNORA48. NCBI's taxonomy places the organism in Eukaryota, Metazoa, Chordata, Mammalia, Rodentia, Muridae. The transcript has a single exon. The record is from RefSeq and is a predicted model, not a curated record.